Folsomia candida is the source of this 845-nucleotide long non-coding RNA. RefSeq lists it as uncharacterized. The transcript has 2 exons. The record is from RefSeq and is a predicted model, not a curated record. Lineage: Eukaryota; Metazoa; Arthropoda; Collembola; Entomobryomorpha; Isotomidae.
CCGCCCUCCCAGGUGGACAAGGAAAUGAGAGAAAAAAUAUGAAAAGUCGUUUUUUUGAAGUUUUUGAAGAAUUUCAUGAAUUUCAUGAAUUUUAAUUUUACUACUUGGAGUUGAAGUUGGACAAUUUUGUGCAGAUUUAUUUAUUUAUGUAUUUUGUAUGAAAAGACAUUUGUUUUUUGAAAAGUUUCAUGGAUUUCAUGAAUUUUGCAAAAAAAUAAUUAAUUUUUCCGUGAAUCAGAUAAUAUUCUAAUUAGAACUAUGUGAUUCACAUGUGAAUGAAUUUUAAUUUUUUGGGAGAAAAACUUAAGUAUUUUGAGGCAGAAUUUUACUAUUUGGGAUUUAAGUUAAACAAUUUUGUGGAGAUUUAUAAAAUCACAUUUAUUUAUGUAUUUUUGUGUAUGAAAGAACGACAUUUGGUUUUUGAAAAGUUUCAGAAAUUUCAUUUAAAAAAAUAAUUAUUUGAAUUUUUACAUAAAGUUUAAUUAGAACUAUAUAAAUGAUUUUUUUAUCAAAUUUUAAUUUCUUUAAAGCAGACUUUUACUAUUUGGAGUUGAAGUUCGACAAUUUUGUGAAGAUUUAUAGAAUCACAAUUCAUGUAUUUUUGUGCAUGAAAGACGACAGUUGUUCUUUUUAAAUUUUUUCAUGAAUAUCAAAUUUAUAAGAAAGAUGAAAAAUUCAAUUUGGAGUGAGAAGAGAUUUAUGCGUAAAAGCACAUUUUAUAUUUUUAUUCGUAUGAAAAUGUAAGCUAAAAUGGACAGCAUUUCAUGAUUUAUUGGGACGGUAUUAAAGUAAAGAUUGCAAUUUUUUUGACCUUCUAUUUUCCAUGCAGGUAAAUAUAAUACGAG